GAUGAACGCUAGCGACAGGCCUAACACAUGCAAGUCGAGGGGCAGCACAUGAGUAGCAAUACGAUGGUGGCGACCGGCGCACGGGUGAGUAACACGUAUGCAACCUGCCUGUAAGAGGGGAAUAACCCGGAGAAAUUCGGACUAAUACCGCAUAAUACCACGAGACUGCAUGGUUUUGUGGUUAAACAUUUAUGGCUUACAGAUGGGCAUGCGUAUGAUUAGAUAGUUGGUAGGGUAACGGCCUACCAAGUCUACGAUCAUUAGGGGUUCUGAGAGGAAGGUCCCCCCACACCGGUACUGAGACACGGACCAGACUCCUACGGGAGGCAGCAGUGAGGAAUAUUGGUCAAUGGGCGAGAGCCUGAACCAGCCAAGUCGCGUGAAGGAAGAAGGUUCUAUGGAUUGUAAACUUCUUUUGCAGGGGAAUAAAGGACGGUACGUGUACUGUUUUUGUAUGUACCUUGCGAAUAAGGAUCGGCUAACUCCGUG
RNAcentral lists this ribosomal RNA (489 nucleotides) under uncultured bacterium. RNAcentral's name for it is "bacterial SSU rRNA". It matches the Rfam family "Bacterial small subunit ribosomal RNA", at positions 28 to 507 of the family's 1533-position model. The record is from RNAcentral.